GACGAACGCUGGCGGCGUGCUUAACACAUGCAAGUCGAACGGAAAGGCCCUGCUUUUGUGGGGUGCUCGAGUGGCGAACGGGUGAGUAACACGUGAGUAACCUGCCCUUGACUUUGGGAUAACUUCAGGAAACUGGGGCUAAUACCGGAUAGGAGCUCCUGCUGCAUGGUGGGGGCUGGUAAGUUUCGGCGGUUGGGGUUGGACUCGCGGCUUAUCAGCUUGUUGGUGGGGUAGUGGCUUACCAAGGCUUUGACGGGUAGCCGGCCUGCGAGGGUGACCGGCCACAUUGGGACUGAGAUACGGCCCAGACUCCUACGGGAGGCAGCAGUGGGGAAUAGUGCACUAUGGGCUGAAGCCUGAUGCAGCAACGCCGCGUGCGGGAUGACGGCCAUCGGGUUGUAAUCCGCUUUCGCCUGUGACGAAGCGUGAGUGACGGUAAUGGGUAAAGAAGCACCGGCUAACUACGUG
This 468-nucleotide ribosomal RNA is filed under the name uncultured bacterium. Its description in RNAcentral is "partial 16S ribosomal RNA". It matches the Rfam family "Bacterial small subunit ribosomal RNA", at positions 28 to 507 of the family's 1533-position model. The record is from RNAcentral.